GAUGAACGCUGGCGGCGUGCCUAAUACAUGCAAGUCAAGCGAACAGACGAGGAGCUUGCUCCUCUGACGUUAGCGGCGGACGGGUGAGUAACACGUGGAUAACCUACCUAUAAGACUGGGAUAACUUCGGGAAACCGGAGCUAAUACCGGAUAAUAUAUUGAACCGCAUGGUUCAAUAGUGAAAGACGGUUUUGCUGUCACUUAUAGAUGGAUCCGCGCCGCAUUAGCUAGUUGGUAAGGUAACGGCUUACCAAGGCAACGAUGCGUAGCCGACCUGAGAGGGUGGUCCGGCCCACUUGGACUUGGACACCGUCCAGACCCCUACCGGGAGGAGGAGUUGGGAAACCUCCGCAAUGGGGCAAAGCCUUACCGAGCAACCGCGCCGUAGUUGAUGAGGUUCUCCGGUCCGAAAACCCUUUUAUUAGGGAAGAACAAAUGUGUAAGUAACUAUGCACGUCUUGACGGUACCUAAUCAGAAAGCCACGGCUAACUACGUG
Molecule: ribosomal RNA, 497 nt
Filed under: uncultured bacterium
Lineage: Bacteria
Description: partial 16S ribosomal RNA
Rfam family: Bacterial small subunit ribosomal RNA
Source: RNAcentral